Long non-coding RNA from Alosa sapidissima (American shad), 112 nucleotides. RefSeq lists it as uncharacterized. The record is from RefSeq and is a predicted model, not a curated record. The transcript is spliced from 4 exons. Lineage: Eukaryota; Metazoa; Chordata; Actinopteri; Clupeiformes; Clupeidae.
UGUACGAUUCCGAUGGAUCGGAACAUUUGGAACCGGUUCCUUACCGAUACCUGGAACCGAUUCCCAAGCCUAGUCUAUGUGUAUGUGUGUGUGUUCAUGGCUGAUGUUUGGG